GAUAAACAAAGAUGUCGCUAAAGUGAUUCAAAAUCAGGAUGGCACUAGGGAAGAGCUACGCAUUGUUAAUUUAAAAAUGGAUCAAGUUGGGGAUGCUUUAAUGGAAAAAUCUAAAAUAUUUGAAGGUGAGCUGAAUAAAAUACUUGAUAGCUUUAAGCUCUCAGAUGAUGCAAAGAAGCUUCCAAGUGAAACAGAAGAUUUCAAGGACUCGUCAAUAAGUUCAGUGAAUCAGGUAAUGCUUGAUCGCCUUGAUCACUUAGAGAAAGCUGUGUCAUUGUUAUUUGAGGGUCAG
Physella acuta is the source of this 292-nucleotide long non-coding RNA. RefSeq lists it as uncharacterized. NCBI's taxonomy places the organism in Eukaryota, Metazoa, Mollusca, Gastropoda, Physidae. The record is from RefSeq and is a predicted model, not a curated record.